GGCCCCGUAGCUCAACUGGAUAGAGCAGCGGACUUCUAAUCCGCAGGUUGCAGGUUCGAGCCCUGCCGGGGUCGCCA
This 77-nucleotide transfer RNA is filed under the name Hyphomicrobiales bacterium. Its description in RNAcentral is "tRNA-Arg". It matches the Rfam family "tRNA". From Rfam's summary of the family: Transfer RNA (tRNA) molecules are approximately 80 nucleotides in length. The record is from RNAcentral. Lineage: Bacteria; Pseudomonadati; Pseudomonadota; Alphaproteobacteria; Hyphomicrobiales.